This 433-nucleotide ribosomal RNA is filed under the name uncultured bacterium. RNAcentral's name for it is "partial 16S ribosomal RNA". It matches the Rfam family "Bacterial small subunit ribosomal RNA", at positions 29 to 507 of the family's 1533-position model. The record is from RNAcentral.
AACGAACGCUGGCGGCAUGCCUAACACAUGCAAGUCGAACGAGACCUUCGGGUCUAGUGGCGCACGGGUGCGUAACGCGUGGGAACCUGCCCUUAGGUUCGGAAUAACUCCCCGAAAGGGGUGCUAAUACCGGAUAAUGUCUUCGGACCAAAGAUUUAUCGCCUUUGGAUGGGCCCGCGUUGGAUUAGCUAGUUGGUAGGGUAAAAGCCUACCAAGGCGACGAUCCAUAGCUGGUCUGAGAGGAUGAUCAGCCACACUGGGACUGAGACACGGCCCAGACUCCUACGGGAGGCAGCAGUGGGGAAUAUUGGACAAUGGGCGAAAGCCUGAUCCAGCAAUGCCGCGUGAGUGAUGAAGGCCUUAGGGUUGUAAAGCUCUUUUACCCGGGAUGAUAAUGACAGUACCGGGAGAGUAAGCUCCGGCUAACUCCGUG